AUACGUAGGUGGCGAGCGUUGUCCGGAAUUACUGGGUGUAAAGGGCGUGUAGGCGGGAUGGCAAGUCAGAUGUGAAAUACCGGGGCUUAACCCUGGUGCUGCAUCUGAAACUGCUGUUCUUGAGUGCCGGAGAGGAAAGCGGAAUUCCCAGUGUAGCGGUGAAAUGCGUAGAUAUUGGGAGGAACACCGGUGGCGAAGGCGGCUUUCUGGACGGUAACUGACGCUGAGGCGCGAAAGCGUGGGGAGCAAACAGGAUUAGAUACCCUGGUAGUCCACGCCGUAAACGAUGGAUACUAGGUGUAGGAGGUGUAAAUACCUUCUGUGCCGGAGUUAACACAAUAAGUAUCCCACCUGGGGAGUACGGUCGCAAGGCUGAA
Molecule: ribosomal RNA, 377 nt
Filed under: uncultured bacterium
Lineage: Bacteria
Description: bacterial SSU rRNA
Rfam family: Bacterial small subunit ribosomal RNA
Source: RNAcentral